UUUGGAAAUAUCUCUUAUCUUCACAAAACUGUUCAUGCAGUUGGAAAUAAUGCAACUGGGAGGGAAAAGUUGAUGGUGCAGAACGGGGGACUGGAGCAAGGCUCCAAGUGGCAGGCAGGGACUUGAAGCGAGGUACACACAGAGGUGCUGGCCUUCAGUGGAAGCACCGGUCGUUCAUCCAGGCUGUGCAGGGUGCAAGCAGAAGACAUGGACGAAGGGGAAGGGAUCUCUAGGAAGAGACUUGCCAACUCUGAGGCACAUUGAAAAGACCCACAAGUCUACUUCAUGUCAACUGGAAUAUUCACAUGUAAAAUUUGGGUAUAUUUUAGGAAAUUCAUACAACUGUUCUCACAUGAGAUUAAAAAAUCAGAAUCUUA
Panthera uncia (snow leopard) is the source of this 377-nucleotide long non-coding RNA. RefSeq lists it as uncharacterized. NCBI's taxonomy places the organism in Eukaryota, Metazoa, Chordata, Mammalia, Carnivora, Felidae. The transcript is spliced from 2 exons. The record is from RefSeq and is a predicted model, not a curated record.